Molecule: ribosomal RNA, 432 nt
Filed under: uncultured bacterium
Lineage: Bacteria
Description: partial 16S ribosomal RNA
Rfam family: Bacterial small subunit ribosomal RNA
Source: RNAcentral
ACGCACGCUGGCGGCAGGCCUAACACAUGCAAGUCGCGCGAGGACUUCGGUCCUAGCGGCGGACGGGUGAGUAACGCGUGGGAACGUGCCCUUUGCUUCGGAAUAGCCCUGGGAAACUGGGAGUAAUACCGGAUGAGCCCUUUGGGGGAAAGAUUUAUCGGCGAAGGAUCGGCCCGCGUUGGAUUAGGUAGUUGGUGGGGUAAUGGCCUACCAAGCCGACGAUCCAUAGCUGGUUUGAGAGGAUGAUCAGCCACACUGGGACUGAGACACGGCCCAGACUCCUACGGGAGGCAGCAGUGGGGAAUCUUAGACAAUGGGGGAAACCCUGAUCUAGCCAUGCCGCGUGAGCGAUGAAGGCCUUAGGGUUGUAAAGCUCUUUCAGCUGGGAAGAUAAUGACGGUACCAGCAGAAGAAGCCCCGGCUAACUCCGUG